RNAcentral lists this ribosomal RNA (502 nucleotides) under uncultured bacterium. Its description in RNAcentral is "partial 16S ribosomal RNA". It matches the Rfam family "Bacterial small subunit ribosomal RNA", at positions 28 to 507 of the family's 1533-position model. The record is from RNAcentral.
GAUUAACGCUGGCGGCGUGCCUAACACAUGCAAGUCGAGCGGCAGCGAGUUUUACACUGAAUUCUGGAAGCUUCUAGUUGCAAGAGAAGAUUUAUUCAAGAAUUUUGUGUAAAAUGUCGGCGAGCGGCGGACGGCUGAGUAACGCGUGGGAACGUACCCCAAAGUGAGGGAUAACGCAUCGAAAGGUGUGCUAAUACCGCAUAUGGUCUUCGGAUUAAAGCCUUCGGGCGCUUUGGGAACGGCCUGCGUAAGAUUAGAUAGUUGGUGGGGUAAUGGCCUACCAAGUCGACGAUCUUUAACUGGUUUGAGAGGAUGAUCAGUCAGACUGGAACUGAGACACGGUCCAGACUCCUACGGGAGGCAGCAGUGAGGAAUCUUCCACAAUGGGCGAAAGCCUGAUGGAGCAACGCCGCGUGCAGGAUGAAGGCCUUCGGGUUGUAAACUGCUUUUAUAAGUGAGGAUUAUGACAGUAACUGAUGAAUAAGGAUCGGCUAACUACGUG